Molecule: unclassified non-coding RNA, 335 nt
Filed under: soil metagenome
Description: partial contains 5.8S ribosomal RNA, internal transcribed spacer 2, and large subunit ribosomal RNA
Rfam family: 5.8S ribosomal RNA (bases 1-119)
Source: RNAcentral
GAUGAAGACGUAGCGAAAUGCGAUAAGUAAUGUGAAUUGCAGAAUUCAGUGAAUCAUCGAAUCUUUGAACGCACAUUGCGCCCGCCAGUAUUCUGGCGGGCAUGCCUGUUCGAGCGUCAUUUCAACCAUCAAGCCCCCGGCUUGUGUUGGGGACCUGCGGCUGCCGCAGGCCCUGAAAAGCAGUGGCGGGCUCGCUGUCACACCGAGCGUAGUAGCAUACAUCUCGCUCUGGGCGUGCUGCGGGUUCCGGCCGUUAAACCACCUUCAUAACCCAAGGUUGACCUCGGAUCAGGUAGGAAGACCCGCUGAACUUAAGCAUAUCAAUAAGCGGAGGA